This 831-nucleotide ribosomal RNA is filed under the name Tetradesmus obliquus. RNAcentral's name for it is "16S rRNA". The stretch from base 1 to 684 matches the Rfam family "Bacterial small subunit ribosomal RNA", at positions 966 to 1533 of the family's 1533-position model. The record is from RNAcentral. Lineage: Eukaryota; Viridiplantae; Chlorophyta; Chlorophyceae; Sphaeropleales; Scenedesmaceae.
CUUGCCACAAGGGCACAGCACUUUGGUUCUAUAGAACCAAAGGUUUAUUUUUUUUUUAAAACAGAUCUACACAGGCGUUGCAUGGCUGUCGUCAGUCCGUGGUGCUAUACCGUUUUCGCACAAUUUUGUGCUUCUUACGGACAUCUCCCCUACCAGAAUUCCAAUAAAAUUUUUUUUGCUUCUGGAGUGUAAAGCUUUCUAUAGUUUUGCCUUAAUUUGGGUCCACGUCUAGUCAUCAUGGCCCACAUAUAUUGGGAUACACCUGUGUUACAAUGGAAUAUACAHUUUGUUGCUACGUUUUAUAAAAAUAUAAAAUCUUCGCAAAUAUAGAAAAUAUUCCAUAAUUCAGAUCAUACCCUGCAACUCGGGUAUGUGAAGCCGGAAUCAUUUGUAAUCGUGGAUUAGCCUGCCACGGUGAAAUUUAGAAGUUUCUCUAGAGUACACACCGCCCGUCACAUUGGAAAAAUUGUAUGGACUAGAAAAGGGAAGAGGCUUUUUUUAUUGUUUGGCGAACGACUUUUGUUCUAAAGACCAAAAGGGCACUUUUUUAAAAAGACUAAACAGGAAUUUUUUUUUUGUUCGAACAAUGAAAAAAAGUUUAUUUUUUUGAAAGUUUGUACGGUGAUUGCGAUGAAGUCGUAACAAGGUUGUUCUACGGGAACGUGGAGCAGGAAUGAUUUUUUUAAAUAUACAUUUUUUUAUAUUUUCUAUUUUUAAAUAUGAACAUUAUAGGAGACUUUUUUUGAUAUUAUAAAAUAUACAAAAAAAAGAAUCCUUACUAUAAUCUUUACAUUUUUUUAAAAGAAGAUUAUAGUACAAAAUUUUUUAUUU